RNAcentral lists this transfer RNA (65 nucleotides) under Dipodomys ordii (Ord's kangaroo rat). It matches the Rfam family "tRNA". Rfam says of the family: Transfer RNA (tRNA) molecules are approximately 80 nucleotides in length. Their secondary structure includes four short double-helical elements and three loops (D, anti-codon, and T loops). Lineage: Eukaryota; Metazoa; Chordata; Mammalia; Rodentia; Heteromyidae. The record is from Rfam by way of RNAcentral.
GGUGGCUCAGUGGUAGAGCGCUUGCCCUGCAUGCAUGAGACCCUGGGUUCAAUUCCUCAGCACCG